Molecule: long non-coding RNA, 2800 nt
Filed under: Citrus sinensis (sweet orange)
Lineage: Eukaryota; Viridiplantae; Streptophyta; Magnoliopsida; Sapindales; Rutaceae
Description: long non-coding RNA (CSIN_LNC001778)
Source: RNAcentral
UGGGAUUAUUAUUUGGAUAGCUUCAAUAUGGACAAACAAGGUGAAGUCAUGGAGAGCCACCACUUUGAUUGGAUUAGUUCUAACCAUGAAUGACAAAAUCUCCAUUUCAAUAUUUUAUCAUAAAACAAAAUUAAAAUAAAACAAAAGUAAAAAAGCUGGUUGGCUCCUUUAGUAUUCCUACUGCUUUAUAUAUAUGUGUGUGUGUGUGUGUGUGUGUGUGUGUGUGUGUGUGUGUGUGUGUGUGUGUGUAUGCACCUAAAACAUUGUACAUUGGGAACUUAACGGACUUAGCCAGAUAAGGAAGAGGGAGGUGGGAUUAUUAUUUGGAUAGCUUCAAUAUGGACAAACAAGGUGAAGUCAUGGAGAGCCACCACUUUGAUUGGAUUAGUUCUAACCAUGAAUGACAAAAUCUCCAUUUCAAUAUUUUAUCAUAAAACAAAAUUAAAAUAAAACAAAAGUAAAAAAGCUGGUUGGCUCCUUUAGUAUUCCUACUGCUUUAUAUAUAUGUGUGUGUGUGUGUGUGUGUGUGUGUGUGUGUGUGUGUGUGUAUAGAUAUAGGUUGAUACAUAAGUUGCUUUUUCUUCGGACUCGGCUAUGGCCUCUCAUGGUAGCAUCAAAGUUAGCACUACCACCUCCCCAAAAGGUGGCAAGAGUACUACUGAUCCUCACGGCGGCGGUGCCGGUUCACCGAAAGGGCAGUGCCUGUGUUCGCCGACGACUCACCAAGGGUCGUUCCGGUGCAGAUUUCAUCGGACGGCUGCAGGAGGGUCAUCGGCGGCUUGGAUCAUGAAGCGAUCAAACUCCAUGCCUGCCGAUAAAUCAGCAGCGGUGGCUUCUUUUUCUCCCAAGUCAGUUGAGACUUGACCGCGCCUAUUCCAUGUAAGCUAAAGAUUAAUUAAUGGCAGCUAGCUGCUUCUUCAUAUAUAUCUUUCAAAGCUCUGUAAAAAAAAACAAUAUGUAAUAGCUUUGAUACUUGACUUUAUAUGUUUCUGCUUGGGAUUUUCAAUGCUUGAAACUGUUAAAACUCGUUCUUGAUAAUAGCCUAUAGGCAGCCCGCGGCUGGUAUGUAAAAUUAAUUCCUCCCUCUGUUGUUCGUUUGGCUCCUGUAUGUUAAUAAUUCUUGCUUUCAUUAUUAGUCUGUUCCCUUUUUUGUUCUCCGUUUAAUUAAGCUUGUAGAUUGAUGAAUCUGUUAUAUCAGUCUUUUUGACUCUGAAAAAUUAAUACCAAGAGACGAAUAUAGAAUUUUGUUUUUAUUUUUUUUUCUCCCCACUCAAAACAAGUUAGGGCACUAAUCUUUGACCUGAUCAAAUGGUAAUUAAAAAACCGAACGUAUAUAGUUCAUUCUUAUCCACAAAAAUUACACAUAUCGGUCGAGGACAAAAGCAAUAUUGAAGUUUGAUUAUAGUGUCUUCAUUUUUUUUUCAUUUUUUUUUUCUGGACGGUAAUGGAAUGGUUGGAUGAGUUAUGAAUGGCUCUCUCUCAUUUUAGGGUAAAGAACCCAUCAAAGAUUUUUUUUAUGUUAAAAUAAUAAAAUGAGUUGAUCAAGAUUGAAGAACGCUUGAUUUUUUGUUCCAAAGCUAUUCUGAGAUGGUGAUGGGCGCAUGUACGUGACAAUUCAUGAGAGUGUUUCCAUCCAGAAUCCAGAUAGCUACGCGCCUCUUAGGAAUUAAAAUUCAAUAAUUGAGAAUAUUAAUUCAUAAGUUGAUCAUACAAAUCAAAAGAAAAUGACAUCAAUGAAGUGUUUAAGCACCGUGGUGUGGAGUCGUAGUCCAUACCUCGUCCACAAAAAAGAUUUUGCUAUAACAUGACAGUACGCGUAUUAAUAUUGCUAAGCACGUGUAAUUUAAUUAACGUUUGAUUUUGUUUUUGCCAAUAAUAGGAGUCUUUUAAUCUUAGUUUAUCUAAAAGUUGUAUAAGGGUUACAUUUAUAAGCCCGUUUGACCAUUUGAGGUUCCUUAGCAAUAACAAUUUCUUGAAGCAGCGUUGUGAUGGGAUUUGUCUAAAGCGCUGAAACUGAUUUUGAGAGUUAAUUAAGGGAGUGAGUUCAAUUUUCUGCAAUUUCAGAAUUCGAGUUCUCCUUAAAUUAAUCUAUCGAAAAAAUCGUGAGUAAGUUCCUCAUGAAUUCUUUUAUAGUUCGGGCACUCUUAUUUUUUUCACAUUAUUAAAUCAUAAAGUUUAAAUAGAGUCGGUGCAGACAUGUUAUUAGACUGUAUAAUUUUAUAAUAUAUUGAGAAAUGAUUCUCUUAAGAGUGAUGAUACAACCAUAAUCUUUUGUACAUAUUUAUUUUAUACAAACUGAUAUGACAUUAAUUCAUUGGUUGAAUAAAAUUAUAAAAUAAUAUAAAUAAAUCAUGUGGGCUAAAAAAUAUUUAAUUCAAUCAAUGAAUUAACGUCAUAUCAAUUUGUACAAAAUAAGUUUGUACAAGAGUUUGUAACUACAUCAUUACUCUUCUAUUAAACCACACAAUUUAAUUUCGUGUCCACAUUAAAAAAAAAAAAUAGUGCCCGCACUUGAGAAUAAUUAGUGUCCUCCUAUAAAUGGAUGCGGUGAUUUAGGACGGCCGUAAUAAAAAUUAAUAAAUGAAAUCCAUUAAUUCUAAUAUAUUUAUGAUAAUUAAAUAUUAUUAGCAUUGUAACUCUAACUAAAAAAAAUUAUUUAAAAAUAAGAGAUUUUAAAAUGUAUCAAAGAUAAUACAAUUAAUGAGACACAUAUGAUACAUGCCAUUAAAUUUAAUACAAUUACAAUUUUCAUUAUAAUUUUUUAGAAUAAGUAUACAUAAUAGUAUUAGUUAUAUUAUUA